RNAcentral lists this long non-coding RNA (1515 nucleotides) under Salmo salar (Atlantic salmon). Its description in RNAcentral is "lncRNA (ENSSSAG00000116139.1)". Lineage: Eukaryota; Metazoa; Chordata; Actinopteri; Salmoniformes; Salmonidae. The record is from RNAcentral.
GCUCUCAGAAGGCGGGAAAAAGCUGAAUGAUGUAAUUCCAGCCACUGGCUGAAAAACAUUAGCGCUUUUGGCAAGUGCUCUAUCAGAGGACAAUGGGCUGAGGCGCGUGCACGAGUCGACCCCAUGUUUUUAUUUUCUUUCGUCUUUGAACCUAAACACAGAUUCCCGGUCGGAAUAUUAUCGCUUUUUUACAAGAAAAAUGGCAUAAAAAUUGAUUUUAAACAGCGGUUGACAUGCUUCGAAGUACGGUAAUGGAAUAUUUAGAAUUUUUUGGUCACGAAAUGCGUUGUGCGCGUCACCCUUCUUUACCAUUCGGAUAGUGUCUUGAAUGCACAAACAAAACAGAGGAUAUUUGAACUUAACUAUGGAUUAUUUUGAACCAAACCAACAUUUGUUAUUGAAGUAGAAGUCCUGGGAGUGCAUUCUGACGAAGACAGCAAAGAUCAAUAAAGCAGAGGACCUGUCAGAGGUAAAGAACAAAUUGGAGGAAUUGGUAGACUGGCUGAGCCUACUGGGGCUGAAAAUGAUUGUUAUCAAGACAAUGGAGGACAGGGAUGGUGUGGUUGAAAUGGUGGCUCAACAAUUUGUCCAAGGGAGCAUGCAGAUGGCCUUGGAGUAGUUCAAAUAUGGUCUCAAAUCUCUUGGGCUGCUGUAGGCAUUGGGAACCACCCGGACAGCUUCCGAGCACUUUUUGUGGACUCCGUAAAGCUUCCCACUGCCAGGGACCCGAGGGACCUGUUUAAAGUAACCUAUUCCAUAUCUGGCGGCAACAGGCGGUGGUUGGAGAACGAUGCCAUCUGCCACUGGUUCAACUGGCUGGCCGAUAGUAGAUCAAUUGUUCAAGAUUAUCACUAACUGCAUAUUAUUCCAUUUGUGAUUUAAAUGUGUAUUUUAAAUGUUUUACUGUGUACUCCUCAGAUGGAGAAUGUCCACCUCUAACAGUGGCGAUGGUGUUGUCAUUUGCUACUGGGGCAACAGUGGUGACACCCCGACCAUCGAAUUCCUCCACACAGCACAUGGGAGUCUUGCUAGGCAGCAGAAGAAAAAGUACCCAGAGGCAAAAACAUGUGCUGUGACACUAAGGCUCCCUCUUCAUAGCACCCACAAUGCCUUUAGGGAUUUCAUGGUUUCUGGUAUUAUGAAUUCCCCACAUUUCGGUGUUGCAUAAAUACACCUUCGCGGAAAGUGACACAAAUGUACAAGUCUGUGGGACUUGUUCUACCUUCCUUCUCCCACUGUUUCAUAUAUGUACUAGCUAUGUACUGAAGACUUGUACAUUUCCACCCUGUUCUUUGAAUGUCUUAAUGUACCUCUUUUCUGCCCACUUGUCAGACUAAUGGAGACAAGUGAGCAGAUAUAUUUUGCAGCUUAAUUCAUUGUUUUUCAAAAAAGAUUUAAGCAUUUAUCUAUUUACCGUCUAUGUAUUAUUAGUACAAUGCAUUUAGAAAGUAUUCAGACCCCUCUUCUUUUUACACAUUUUAUUACGUUACAGCCUUAUUCUAAAAUAGAUUUUUU